Molecule: long non-coding RNA, 5687 nt
Filed under: Sus scrofa (pig)
Lineage: Eukaryota; Metazoa; Chordata; Mammalia; Artiodactyla; Suidae
Description: lncRNA (ENSSSCG00040044656.1)
Source: RNAcentral
UUUUAUUUUCUUCUUGUUGCCAAAAAAAAAAAAAAAAUUUACAAAGUUUUCCCAAACAACUCACAUGUGUCAGUAUAUCUCCAGACAGGUCAACGCAAUCACGUUUCCCUCAGUCGAGACGAUCUUUCUGAAAGAAGAUUAUUCUCUGAAGUGGGAAUCCUCCAUAUUUUAAUUGUAGCUAGCUCCUAGAAUCUCUUUUCUGAACUUCUAAUAAAAGGGGGGGGGGGCAUGGGACACCGUUUUAUAGGAAGUGGAGUUCUCUUGUGGCACAGUGGGGUAAGGAUACGGCAUCAUCCCUGCUGUGGCCUGGGUUCGAUCCCUGGCCCAGGAGCUUCCACAUGCUGCGGUUGUGGCCCAAAAAAGGAAAGAAACAGAGUCACUCUAGGAGGACAUGUAGCAAGUAUGGUCAUUAUAGAACAGAAUUUCGUAUUCAGCCUUGGUGCUGAGCAAGGGAAUUGCCGCCUGUGCCCCCACCCCAAGUGUUGAGAUUUCUCUCCUCUGACCUCCCUCAAGGCAGAGAAUAACAAAGAGCAGUCCCGUGUCUGCCUUGUCACACAGCAGGCCUAAAAAGGAGUAUUUGAUUUCGUGGAAAUCAAAAAUACUUGGAUCACAAUGGUGACAGUAGCGCUUUGGUCACUUUCCAAGUCGAGCUUGUCUUCCGGACCCCCACCUCGGCGUGCUUUCGAGGUCGAGCUUCAGGCCAGGUGCUUCGUAAUGGCGAGUGGCAGCCUGUGAAAGCCGCCCUUCGUGGGGGCCGGAAGCUCAAAGUUUUCUAGUCAGAUUUCCCCAUGACCUCAGUUAUGAAGAAAAUGUUGCCGAUUCUGGAAAAUGCUAAUGUCCUUUUUAGCCGUAAGUAUUAUCUUGAUUGCAGUGCUUCAGAAUUGCCCAACUUCAUUAUCUGAGCAUAGCCAGCCUGACGCCUUCUUCUCAAAUAGACAAUUAUGAUCAAUUAAGCACUUUCAGGCCUUAUAGAAUAUUUAAUUUUAUUAGUCAAUUAUUUGUGCUUUGAAAGAGUUAAUGGUAGCUACCCAAGCCAUUAUUAGAAAUUAGAAUGUCCCAAAAUAGAAAGGCUAUUUCCUUUGUGUAUGGCACUGCAGUGGAAAAUGCCAAGCAUAGUUUUUACUGAGUUAAAGGGUGAGGGAGGAUGGGGUGGGGGAGAAAGUUACAUGUAAAUCAUUUAGCCAUUAAUCUAAUGGGUGGAUUUAUAAAUCCUAUUACUAUAAGCCCUUUUCAUUUCCACUGAGGCCUGGUGCAUGCUUGAUCCCACUAAUGUAAAAUUCAUUCCGUCUAAGUGAUUACUGAAGUAAGACACUUUGAGUCAAUUUUCAUCAGGUUUUGCGAAACUUGCCUGAGUGCCGAUGUUCACUGCAGCACGGACAUAGUUUGGCCGUGUCUUAAUUAGCCCCCCAGAUGAGUUAUGUGAGGAGUCAAUCAGGGGACCAAAAUCGUGACGCCUUUUGACAUGACGGUGUUUUUCUGUGAGGGAAAUACACUGAAGGGGCUGAAAAGACCCAGCUCCAAAGCACGAGGCAAAGGCCUGUGGUUGGGGGUGUUUCUAGUCUCAUGGACAUUAUGUGAAUCCCGAGAAAUCUGAAAGCUCUGUUUUUAUGGCUAAUUGGAGCAUCUUCAGUGAUGAAUCAAAAUUUCAAAAUCAGUGAAAUACUUGGACCCUCUUCCUAGAAGAAUACAUAUAGGUACACAUUCAGAAUUUUCCUUAUUGUUUCAGAGAUUUUCAGACUUCUUGACCUUAGGUUACCAUCUCCUGCUCCAGUUUCCGUUUUGUUGUCUUAGAGCCCCCCCCCCCCCAGGAAUUUAAUAUUUCAGAGUGUAGACUCAUACUUGAACUGUUGUGUUGGUGAGUAGCAUGGGCUCAAGUGCACUUUAAAGCCAGCCCUCCAAGCUCUUGUGUCACAUAGAGUCCCACCUAUGGCAAUAGUUCACCCGUGUUCACGUGAAACAUACAAGAUGUGAGGUAUUCUCUAAACUGGGGGUUUAGAGAAUAGAGAGAGGAGGAGGAAUAGAGAAUAAGAAUAUUGUGGAAGGAAGGUUUCUUUAAAGAUGAAAACAGAGUUGUUUUGUUUUUGAAGACAGUUUUUUUCGAAGAGCGUAAUGUGGAUUUUUAAAGAUCCACAAAAUGAAUAAGUAUUUGGGGGGAAGAAAUCAGAAGACAAGGGAGAAGUUCACUUUUCCUUUCACAUAGUCAGAGCCAUAGUUUGUGGGUUUUAAAGUUUUUAGAUCAACAUUGGGGCCCUGUCAGAUUUUAGGGUAGUAAUUGAAAGAUACUCAUAAAUAUCAUUAGAUGCGUCUGUUGGGGAGGAGAAACCUUUCAGAAAGCCUUGUUUAUUCAACGUGUUUUAUAUUCCUUACACAUGAGCUAUCAGAAGGUUAGGUUGUAAAUUAAAGAUUUAAAACAAAAUCAGUUUAUCUAGAAACAAGAGUUGUAUGGGAGAGGUACACUUUCAGUCAAGUUUAUAAUUAACGGGCCUUUAUCACUGGGGUAGAAAUUCAUUUCUCUUGAGUGAAUAUUUGUUUAUCUAACAUACAUUGUGUUUGAAGGUGGGAUUAAAACUGAUGUGCUCUUCAUUUCUUGCUUGGAAAGAGCUAGCAUUUAAAUGCGUGCUGUGUGUGGGUUUAAUUGCUGCUUUUUGCAGCCAGCCCUAGGGUCCUGUUGUUGUGGAGAUGCAGUUAUCAAUCCAUGGCUUUGCUUUUCUCACGCUGGACCACUUGGGUUUGCCUCCUUUUACUAGAACCUGAGAGAUAAAUAUGCAUUGAAUUACUGCUGUAUGUAAGGCAUUGUGAUAGGUUUAAUGGCAAAAACAGGAUCUCUGCUUCUAAUUUGCUUAGAGUUUCUUAAUCUUACUUUUUCUAAUAGAGUUUCGUGUUGUGGUAUGGUAUACACAAAAUAAUUUGGGGGCUACAUUGGACUCAUAUACUCAGUGGUAUCAUUGGAGUGGGGAGGCCAGAGAGGCUUUUCUGGUGGUGGUAAGUUCCUUGUAAAAUCGUGAUAAUUCCUAAUACUUAUUGAGCACUUAGGUAUCAGAGACUGUACAAAAUAAUUUACAUAUGUUAUUUCAUUUAAUGCUCACAGUAGCUGGUUUGUAAGGAAGCUGUAGUUACUCUCUCCAUUUUACAGUCAAGGAGUUGGGGGCUUAUAGAGCUUUUAUUGUGUGCCUAAGGUGGUGCAGCUUAGAAGGAAUGCUUUUAGGCUUUGAACUUGGGCAGCCUGUAUUAGUCAAGAGUUCUCCAGAGAAGCAGAACAAGAGAGAGAGGGAGAGAGGGGGAGAGAGAGUGGUGGGGGGUAAGGGGGAAGAGGGAAAGGUGGGGGUUGACUGAUUUCAGGGAAUUGACUCAUACGAUUGUGGGGGCUGGCAAAUCUGAAAUCUGCAGGGCAUGUCAGCAAGCUGGAGAGUCAAACAUACUGGAAUGAGUUGAUAUUUAACAAGGAAGAGUUGAGCUUCAGUUUCAGUCCAGAGGCAGUCUACAGCAGAGUUUCUUCUUCCUAGGGGCCCUUCGGUCUUUUUCUUUUAAGGCCUUCAACUGAUUUGAUGAGACCCACCCAACAUGAUGGUGGGUUUUCUGCUUUACUCUGUCUACUGUUUUAACCACUUGUGCGAAAGCAAGAACAGAGUGUGGCUUGUUCAGUAUACUCAGAAUAUUUCAGGGAGGCUAGACUGAAGGAUGCGUGUAGGAAGCAUUAGAAGAUGAAGUGGGCCUCAACUAGAUCGUGAGUCUCAGGUCAAGCUAAGGGGUUUGAAUUUCAUUGCAGAGACUACCUGUUAGAAGGAACACUGGCCAAGCAUCAGGAAUGGCUUGGAAGGUAGUGAGGUUGGAGACAGGUAGGCUGCGUGAGUGAUGAGGGCCUGGAGGCAGGAUAGCACUAUGGCAAGAGAUGCCCCACUGGAGAGUGUGAUGUGGGACUAUUGGCCCUUUGUUUUAGUUGAAGGCUCUUGGAGGGGCCAUUUAUUAUGUUUGGAGCUAAUGAAGGUUCGGGGGAGAUGGUGGAGAUUUAGAAUGAAUGCUUGUGGGACAGGUAGUUGGUUAUGGGCCCGGAGCGAGAACAUACUGAGUCAUCAGUAUAAUAUCACUGAUUCUCAACCAGGGGCAAUUAUGCUGCCCAGGGAUCAUUUGGCACUAUCUGGAAACAAUGCUGGUUGUCACAGCUAGAGAGUAUAUGUAUGUCUGUGCACACGCGUGAGUAAGUGUGCCUGCUACUGGCAUCCAGUGGGUAGACGCCACACACAGUCCCCCAUGACGAAGAAUCAUCUGGCCUAAAUGUUAUUGGUGCUGAAGAAGAGAAACACUGAUGUGUGUGUAUAUGUAUGUAGAUGUGUAUGUAUUCUCCCCGGUGGGCAGUAGCAGGGAGCAGGGGCAUCUCAAAGCAAGGUGGCACAGGUUUUGAUGUACUGUAAAUACGCCCAGCCACUUCAGUUAAGUGCAUCAAGUAGUAUGCAGACAACUUAUGAGAGCUUAUGUAUUUCUAGGUAUUUUACAACCACGUAGCCUUCAAAAGCAACCUAGAAUAUGGAAAUAUAUUCUUGUAAUGCUAGUUGUCUUUGUUGGAUAUAUUAGUGUCUCAUUUUCCUAACACUCAAGAAAUGAACAUGGUACAAAGUCAAAGCAACCAGAUGUAAGGGAGAGAUACAGCUCCUUGUCAAACUUGGAUUCUGGACUUUGAGAUAUGGGAGGAAUCCCAACCUCUUAAUUUUGUAAAUGAGGAUGCUAAGACCCAGAGAGGGGAACCAACUUGUUCACAGAUCACUUAGCUAGUAAUUGGCAAUUUAAACCAGUACUCAGAUUUCAGACCCUUGACUUUUUUUUUUUGAACUCGUAUAACGUUUUAUCUUUGCAAAGCAUGUUUUCAGCAUACACUUCUUAUUGCCACCUAGCUCCAGGAACUAGGUGGUCAUAUUAUCCCAGUUUUAAAGAAGGUAAAGCAAAGGUGUAAAGGCAGUAGGGAGUCCAGCAUCACGGGAAUAGUGGAGACAGAGUGUAGGGUGCUUGUUAAGUCCAUAGCCCUUGUUCCUUGAGCAUUUUAUAGAGAAGACAAACAUCAAAGAAUAGUGGAGACUAGGAAAGUAGGAAAAAGGCAAUCUAAUGUAAUUAAGAGGAAAUAAAAGAUUUUGCCAAGUGGGAGAACUGAGUAACACUGAGUCCUGCUUGGAAACUAUGGGAACUGGGAAUAGGGAAAGCUUAGAUAAUGGUUGGAUUACCAAAUAUCAUAAUAUUUAUAUUUCUUCUGCUUUUCUUUUCCCUUUCCUUCAAAACCAUUCAUUUUGCUACCCCUAUUAUGCUAAUGUAUUUUUAAAAAAACUUUCCAGUUUAUUUCUAAUUUUAUGUCAUUAGUAACAGAAGAAUCCUAAAGCCAUUUGAGAUUUCACUUGUCAUUCUGUUCAAGUGUUACUUGUUGCAAAUUUGACCUUACCCAGCAUUUUCUUAACUUAGAAGAUUUCCGUAUUGUUUAGUUUCUACAUCAGAGAGCAAAUCGGGUUUCUUGUUAGUGGAUAUUACUACAGUAAAUGUAUGCUUUUGGAAUAGGAGCUUGAAACUUGUUAACUGAGAAAGUUGGUGUUUUCCCUCUCUCUCUCUCUCAUUUAGUAUUAAUAAGCACUGUUUUAGUGUGUAAUAGCAUCUAAAGACAUUUUGUAACCUUUGAAUGAAUGCUUGACAUGGCACUAGCAUUCUGUUCU